CCACACCUGAACCCAUUUCUCCUGAUUGCUGUAAAAGAUGGCUGGAGCCCUCGGUUGUUUCUCUUUCUUCUACUCAGACGACAGGAACCGGGCGGAGCGGCUAUUUUUACCUGAAGCCCACGAGUGAGCCCAACGCAAGGUGAAGCGGGAAAGGGGGAGCGGAAUUUGGGCAACGUUUGGGAGUGUGAAUCAGCUUCAAGUGGAACCAGGGUUUAUCUCACCUCCAACUAUACACCAGCUGUGCAGAUGUCAUACUGUGGAAAGCUGCUGUUUGGAGAGACAGACCCUAAGAACCACAGCCCAAAUCUGUGGAUCCUUUCAGUGGAGCCUCUCUCAGCUCAUUGUUUAGUUUUGUUGGUGUUACAGCCCCCGCUAACUUUACUGUUCCUGGCUCAGUCCCUCUGCUCUCAUUAAUCUUGUUUCCUAUCACAGCAUUCAGCUGUUUUAGCUAAAAAGCUGAUGCACCCACAGUUCAAACCAGUCUGUCAACGAACAACGGAACAAAGUUAGGGACUCCCUGCUUAAAGAAGUGGAGUAUUUAGGAGCUAAAGAGCCGAUCGUUCUCAGCGACUGGUGCAGACAAAAACAUAAUUGAGUAGAAUGAAUAUGGCACAUGCAUUGUGGAUUAAACGUAGAUUAAUACACAUCUAAUAGAAAGGCUGACUUUAUUUUACUUGGCCUUUCAGACAUGCACUGGACAUUUUCCUGAAAUUGCUCCUCAAACAAACAGAGGAAGCUCAACGGCUGCACGGACACUGACAGGAAAUUGGAUAGUUUCUUACCAUGAACACAAAACUCAACUCAACUAAAGUGUGUGCACCUAAAAAUA
Hippoglossus stenolepis (Pacific halibut) is the source of this 829-nucleotide long non-coding RNA. RefSeq lists it as uncharacterized. NCBI's taxonomy places the organism in Eukaryota, Metazoa, Chordata, Actinopteri, Pleuronectiformes, Pleuronectidae. The transcript is spliced from 3 exons. The record is from RefSeq and is a predicted model, not a curated record.